Molecule: ribosomal RNA, 759 nt
Filed under: uncultured bacterium
Lineage: Bacteria
Description: bacterial SSU rRNA
Rfam family: Bacterial small subunit ribosomal RNA
Source: RNAcentral
AUUGAACGCUGGCGGCAGGCUUAACACAUGCAAGUCGGACGGUAACAGGGAGAAGCUUGCUUCUUUGCUGACGAGUGGCGGACGGGUGAGUAAUGCUUGGGAAUCUGUUUUAUGGAGGGGGAUAACUACGGGAAACUGUAGCUAAUACCGCGUAAUAUCGAGAGAUUAAAGUGUGGGACCGUAAGGCCACAUGCCAUAGAGUGAGCCCAAGUGGGAUUAGGUAGUUGGUGGGGUAAAGGCCUACCAAGCCGUCGAUCUCUAGCUGGUCUGAGAGGAUGACCAGCCACACUGGGACUGAGACACGGCCCAGACUCCUACGGGAGGCAGCAGUGGGGAAUAUUGCACAAUGGGCGCAAGCCUGAUGCAGCCAUGCCGCGUGAAUGAAGAAGGCCUUCGGGUUGUAAAGUUCUUUCGGUGGUGAGGAAGGUUGUAAUGUUAAUAGCAUUAUAAUUUGACGUUAGCCACAGAAGAAGCACCGGCUAACUCCGUGCCAGCAGCCGCGGUAAUACGGAGGGUGCGAGCGUUAAUCGGAAUAACUGGGCGUAAAGGGCACGCAGGCGGAUACUUAAGUGAGGUGUGAAAGCCCUGGGCUUAACCUAGGAAUUGCAUUUCAUACUGGGUAUCUAGAGUAUUUUAGGGAGGGGUAGAAUUCCACGUGUAGCGGUGAAAUGCGUAGAGAUGUGGAGGAAUACCGAAGGCGAAGGCAGCCCCUUGGGGGAAUACUGACGCUCAUGUGCGAAAGCGUGGGGAGCAAACAGG